This 442-nucleotide ribosomal RNA is filed under the name uncultured Pseudoramibacter sp. Its description in RNAcentral is "bacterial SSU rRNA". It matches the Rfam family "Bacterial small subunit ribosomal RNA", at positions 338 to 795 of the family's 1533-position model. Lineage: Bacteria; Bacillati; Bacillota; Clostridia; Eubacteriales; Eubacteriaceae. The record is from RNAcentral.
CCUACGGGAGGCAGCAGUGGGGAAUAUUGCGCAAUGGGGGCAACCCUGACGCAGCAAUACCGCGUGAGUGAAGAAGGUUUUCGGAUCGUAAAGCUCUGUUAUUGGGGAAGAAGCAGUGACGGUACCCAAUGAGGAAGUCCCGGCUAACUACGUGCCAGCAGCCGCGGUAAUACGUAGGGGACGAGCGUUGUCCGGAAUCACUGGGCGUAAAGGGCGCGUAGGCGGUUUUAUAAGUCAGAUGUGAAAGGUACCGGCUCAACCGGUGACGUGCAUUUGAAACUGUAAGACUUGAGUACUGAAGAGGCAAGCGGAAUUCCUAGUGUAGCGGUGAAAUGCGUAGAUAUUAGGAAGAACACCGGUGGCGAAGGCGGCUUGCUGGGCAGAUACUGACGCUGAGGUGCGAAAGCGUGGGGAGCGAACAGGAUUAGAUACCCUGGUAGUC